GUGCCAGCCGCCGCGGUAAUACGGAGGGGACUAGCGUUGUUCGGAAUUACUGGGCGUAAAGCGCGCGUAGGCGGACUAUUAAGUCAGGGGUGAAAUCCCGGGGCUCAACCCCGGAACUGCCCUUGAUACUGGUAGUCUGGAGUUCUGGAGAGGUGAGUGGAAUUCCGAGUGUAGAGGUGAAAUUCGUAGAUAUUCGGAGGAACACCAGUGGCGAAGGCGGCUCACUGGCCAGAUACUGACGCUGAGGUGCGAAAGUGUGGGGAGCAAACAGGAUUAGAAACCCCAUAGUCC
Molecule: ribosomal RNA, 291 nt
Filed under: uncultured bacterium
Lineage: Bacteria
Description: partial 16S ribosomal RNA
Rfam family: Bacterial small subunit ribosomal RNA
Source: RNAcentral